RNAcentral lists this signal recognition particle RNA (266 nucleotides) under Pseudomonadota bacterium. RNAcentral describes it as "signal recognition particle sRNA large type". It matches the Rfam family "Bacterial large signal recognition particle RNA". Rfam says of the family: The signal recognition particle (SRP) is a universally conserved ribonucleoprotein involved in the co-translational targeting of proteins to membranes. Archaeal SRP consists of a 7S RNA and homologues of the eukaryotic SRP19 and SRP54 proteins. RNAcentral also lists the same sequence under 1 other name. The record is from RNAcentral. Lineage: Bacteria; Pseudomonadati; Pseudomonadota.
UCGUGCUAGACGGGGAGCUAGCGGUGCCCUGUACCCGCAAUCCGCUAUAGCGGGGUCGAAUUCCUGCUCGAGGUCUGGCACUUUGAGGUUCGGCCGCCGCAAGCGGCGUUGAUGGCCGGGUCCUGCGCAACGGCCGGCUUAUGAACCCCGUCAGGUCCGGAAGGAAGCAGCGGUAAGUAAGUUCGCCCGUGUGCCGCAGGGUUUCCUGGCCGGAGUUGGCUACGUGCGGUAUCACUUGGGGUGCCUUAUCGAAAGCAGGUGCACGA